AUUGAACGCUGGCGGCAGGCCUAACACAUGCAAGUCGAGCGAGCGGCGGACGGGUGAGUAAUGUAUGGGGACUGCCCGAUAGAGGGGGCUAACUACUGGAAACGGUAGCUAAUACCGCAAACUAUGGGAUCACCAAUAUGGUAUUGGCUAGUAGGUGGGGUAAUGGCUCACAUAGGCGUCGAUCCCACGCUGGUCGAAGGGGAUGAUCUGCCAAUGUGGGACGAGGACACGGCCCAAAAGCUGACGGAGGCAGCUGUGGGGAAUAUUGCGCAAGGGGCGCAAGCGUGUUGCACCCAUGCCGCGUGUAUGAAGAGGGCCCUAGGGUUGUGAAGUACUUUCAGUCGGGAGGCGUUACCGACAGAAGAAGCACCGGCUAACUCCGUGCCAGCAGCCGCGGUAAUAC
Molecule: ribosomal RNA, 403 nt
Filed under: uncultured bacterium
Lineage: Bacteria
Description: partial 16S ribosomal RNA
Rfam family: Bacterial small subunit ribosomal RNA
Source: RNAcentral